GCACAUGAGAAUGUCCUAGAAACGUGCCCGAUCUCGUCUGAUCUCGGAAGCUAAGCAGGGUCGGGCCUGGUUAGUACUUGGAUGGGAGAAUGUCCUAGAUCCCCAGGAAUGUGUC
Molecule: ribosomal RNA, 115 nt
Filed under: Canis lupus familiaris (dog)
Lineage: Eukaryota; Metazoa; Chordata; Mammalia; Carnivora; Canidae
Also listed under: 1 other name
Source: RNAcentral